This 602-nucleotide unclassified non-coding RNA is filed under the name Hevea brasiliensis (rubber tree). Lineage: Eukaryota; Viridiplantae; Streptophyta; Magnoliopsida; Malpighiales; Euphorbiaceae. The record is from RNAcentral.
GGGGUGAUGUUGUGAAGCAUUUAAUCCUUGGGGACUAUGUUGAGAACAAAGUUCCAAGUUUGAGUCAUUUUAUUAGUAAAGAAAUCAAAAAGCAAGACUAUGGUAUAGCAUCCUUGGCAGCCCUCUCAAGUGCCAUGCGUUUGCUUCAAAGGUAUGAAUUCAAGAAAAACCAUGGUGAAUGGGUUACUACUGUCAAACCUGAUUUGGGUCCAGGAAUAUCAGAACGAGUGUGGGGAGCUAUUCAAACAACAGGAGAAAGCAUUGAUAUUUGUUACUCUGUGAAGGCAGAAAUAAUUGCCACCCUUACAAGUCUUCUUGAGGAUUUUGGUAUCCUGGCUAUCCCUACAGUACCAGGACGUCCACCAAAACUAAACACAGAUCCAACUACACUGGAAAUUUUUCGUGCCGAGGCUUCUAGCUUGCUCUCCAUUGCUGGAUUAUCAGGAUUCGCAUACCGCUAGGCAUGUACAAUGAUGUACCUGUAGCUAUUUCAUUAUUGGCGAAACAUGGUUCAGAUGGCUUCCUGCUCAAUGUUGUUGAAACUCUUUAUGACACUCUCCAAGAACAGAUUGCAAUUUCAGAAUGAUAGCUUGCUGAAUCCA